Molecule: unclassified non-coding RNA, 166 nt
Filed under: soil metagenome
Description: partial contains 5.8S ribosomal RNA, internal transcribed spacer 2, and large subunit ribosomal RNA
Source: RNAcentral
AACAAGGCGUACCUGCGGACCUGCGGAGGGAUCAUUAAUAAAUGUUACUUCGGUAACUUAAUUAAUCCCUAACACCUGUGCAUCUUGUCGCUUCGGCGUCAUUUUAUAAACAUCAGUGUAAUGAAUGUAACGUAUUAUAACAAAUACAACUUUCAACAAUGGAUCU